UUCGGGGUACACGAGCGGCGAACGGGUGAGUAACACGUGGGUGAUCUGCCUCGUACUUCGGGAUAAGCCUGGGAAACUGGGUCUAAUACCGGAUAUGACCACGGGAUGCAUGUCUUGUGGUGGAAAGAUUUAUCGGUGCGAGAUGGGCCCGCGGCCUAUCAGCUUGUUGGUGGGGUAAUGGCCUACCAAGGCGACGACGGGUAGCCGACCUGAGAGGGUGACCGGCCACACUGGGACUGAGACACGGCCCAGACUCCUACGGGAGGCAGCAGUGGGGAAUAUUGCACAAUGGGCGGAAGCCUGAUGCAGCGACGCCGCGUGAGGGAUGACGGCCUUCGGGUUGUAAACCUCUUUCGACAGGGACGAAGCGUGAGUGACGGUACCUGUAGAAGAAGCACCGGCCAACUACGUGCCAGCAGCCGCGGUAAUACGUAGGGUGCGAGCGUUGUCCGGAAUUACUGGGCGUAAAGAGCUUGUAGGCGGUUCGUCGCGUCGAUCGUGAAAACCUACCGCUCAACGGUGGGCUUGCGGUCGAUACGGGCGGACUAGAGUACUUCAGGGGAGACUGGAAUUCCUGGUGUAGCGGUGAAAUGCGCAGAUAUCAGGAGGAACACCGGUGGCGAAGGCGGGUCUCUGGGAAGUAACUGACGCUGAGAAGCGAAAGCGUGGGUAGCG
RNAcentral lists this ribosomal RNA (675 nucleotides) under Nocardia vinacea. Its description in RNAcentral is "bacterial SSU rRNA". It matches the Rfam family "Bacterial small subunit ribosomal RNA", at positions 81 to 770 of the family's 1533-position model. Lineage: Bacteria; Bacillati; Actinomycetota; Actinomycetes; Mycobacteriales; Nocardiaceae. The record is from RNAcentral.